CGGCACCGAGAAAGGGAAGCUGUUUCAAGAGAUAGGGAUUGUCAGAAAAAGCCAGAGACGCUGGUGUUAAAGGGAAACACUGAGAAUGAGGAGUGCGGACGAGGGUUAUUCGUAAUAGAAGAUGGGUCUUCAAAAGCCAGGAGGCAGAGGAGGGGAAUGCCGUUGGUGGGAUAAAGCUGGAGAUUUCUGCUACGUGCAGCACAUGCUGCUAAUUCUCUCUCAUCUCCAGGAAGUUUCCUAAAACCUGCUUCUGUAACUAGCAGACAGGUCUUCUGGAUCCAAGGUCACCCGCUGGGGAGAAAGAGAAGCCUUUGGAUAAACAUCACAAGUUUUCUUGGAACAUUUAUCCUGUUUAAGAUUUUAUUUAAGAUUUUUUAAAAAGAAGGGAAUAAGGUUUUUUACAAAUAUUUUCCAAAGUAUAGCAUUUAUAUAUGCUCAUUUUAGACAAUUUGAUCAGUAUAAAAUAUUAAAGAAACUAAAAACU
Long non-coding RNA from Cebus imitator (Panamanian white-faced capuchin), 484 nucleotides. RefSeq lists it as uncharacterized. NCBI's taxonomy places the organism in Eukaryota, Metazoa, Chordata, Mammalia, Primates, Cebidae. The transcript is spliced from 3 exons. The record is from RefSeq and is a predicted model, not a curated record.